Long non-coding RNA from Bradysia coprophila, 70 nucleotides. Lineage: Eukaryota; Metazoa; Arthropoda; Insecta; Diptera; Sciaridae. The record is from RefSeq and is a predicted model, not a curated record.
CUUAAACAUGUUAAGGCCAGGUUAUGCCCGCUUACAUCUGUGCGAAAUAUGCCACCAUAACCUGGCCUUA